GAAAAGCAGGGGAUCGUAAGACCUUGCGCUUUUGGAGCGGCCGAUGUCUGAUUAGCUAGUUGGUGGGGUAAAGGCCUACCAAGGCUUCGAUCAGUAGUUGGUCUGAGAGGACGACCAGCCACACUGGGACUGAGACACGGCCCAGACUCCUACGGGAGGCAGCAGUGGGGAAUUUUGGACAAUGGGCGCAAGCCUGAUCCAGCCAUGCCGCGUGAGUGAAGAAGGCCUUCGGGUUGUAAAGCUCUUUCAGUCGGGAAGAAAAGGUUGCGGUUAAUAAUUGCAAUUCAUGACGGUACCGGCAGAAGAAGCACCGGCUAACUACGUGCCAGCAGCCGCGGUAAUACGUAGGGUGCGAGCGUUAAUCGGAAUUACUGGGCGUAAAGGGUGCGCAGGCGGUUUUGUAAGUCAGAUGUGAAUC
This 418-nucleotide ribosomal RNA is filed under the name uncultured beta proteobacterium. RNAcentral's name for it is "bacterial SSU rRNA". It matches the Rfam family "Bacterial small subunit ribosomal RNA", at positions 201 to 600 of the family's 1533-position model. Lineage: Bacteria; Pseudomonadati; Pseudomonadota; Betaproteobacteria. The record is from RNAcentral.